AAACCUUGCGGCUGCCUCAUGCGUGCUAUCUGCAGUCGAACGGUAACACGUCUUCUGACGCUUACGAGUGGCGAAGGGGGGAAUAAUACAUCGGAACGUGCCCCUUCGGGGGGGAUAACUACUCGAAAGAGUAACUAAUACCGCAAUCUAUCUGAGGAUGAAAGCGGGGGACCUUCGGGCCUCGCGCGAUGAAGGCGGCCUCGAAUGCAUUAGGUAGUGUGGAUAAAGCUUACCAAGCCGACGAUGUAGCUGUGAGGAGGACACCAGCACUGGGACUGAGAACCGGCCAUCUCCUACAGGAGGCAGCGUGGGGAAUUUUGGACAUGGCGAAGCUGAUCCAGCAACUGCCGCGUGCAGGAUGAAGCCUUUCGGGUUGUAAACUGCUUUUGUACGGAACGAAAAAGACUUCUCCUAUACGAGGAGGCCGCAUGACGGUACCGUAAGAAAUAAGCACCGGCUAACUACGUGCCCAGCAGCCGCGGUAAUACGUAGGUGCGAGCGUUAAUCGGAAUUACUGGGCGUAAAGCGUGCGCAGGCGGUUAUGUAAGACAGAUGUGAAAUCCCCGGGCUCCCUGGGAACUGCAUUUGUGACUGCAUGGCUAGAGUACGGUAGAGGGGGAUGGAAUUCCGGUGUAGCAGUGAAUGCGUAAUUGCGGAGGAACACCGAUGGCGAAGGCAUCCCCUGACCUGUACUGACGCUCAUGCAGAAAGCGUGGGGAGCAAACAGGAUUAGAUACCCUGGUAUCCACGCCCUAAACGAUGUCAACUGGUUGUUGGGAAUUAGUUUUCUCAGUAACGAAGCUAACGCGUGAAGUUGACCGCUGGGGAGUCGGCCGCAAGGUUAAACUCAAAGGAAUUGACGGGAGCCGCACAGCGGUGGAUGAUGUGAGUUUGAUUCGAUGCACGACGAAACACCCUACACCACCUUUCGACAUGGCAGGAAGUUUCAAGAUGGAUGUGCUGAAAGAACCUGCACACAGGUGCUGCAUGGCUGUCGUCAGCUUUGUCGUGAGAUGUUGGUUAAGUCCGCAACGAGCGCACCCUUUCAUUAGUUGCUCAUUUAGUUGGCACUCUAUGAGACUGCCGGUGACAACCGGAGGAGGUGGGAUGACGGUCAAGUCUCAUGGCCUUAUAGGUGGGGCUACACACGUCAUACAUGGCUGGUACAGAGGGUUGCCAACCCGGAGGACAUCCAUACCAGUCGUAGUCCGGAUCGCAGUCUGCAACUCGACUGCGUGAAGUCGGAAUCGGUAGUAAUCGCGGAUCAGCAUGCCGCGGUGAAUACGUUCCCGGGUCUUGUACACACCGCCCGUCACACCAUGGGAGCGGGUCUCGCCAGAAGUAGGUAACCUAACCGCAAGGAGGGCGCUACCACGGCGGAUUCAAUUGCG
RNAcentral lists this ribosomal RNA (1391 nucleotides) under Delftia lacustris. Its description in RNAcentral is "bacterial SSU rRNA". It matches the Rfam family "Bacterial small subunit ribosomal RNA". Lineage: Bacteria; Pseudomonadati; Pseudomonadota; Betaproteobacteria; Burkholderiales; Comamonadaceae. The record is from RNAcentral.